GUCGCCAUCUUUCUUUCUCAUACGCGGCAUCGCAGUUCAUAUCGGUGGUACCGGCGUAUCUCCCGCGGCACGGAUCCAGUCUGUCGCGACGUCGCGAUUUCGUGCAGAAGAAAUCUCCCAUCCGGAAAGGCAUUGGCCGGAGACGGAUUGAGGUAGAUGAGGCUUGAUUCACGACGAACGCGCUGCGCGGAAAUCUGUCGAUCUCGGCAACACGACGCCACCGCCGAGCGCAUUCGUCGCGCGUAUAAAAUCCGCGAUACGCGACUCGAGAAAGAAGUCUGCCAGCGAGACUCGUGGAGGCGGGGAGGGAGGAGAAGGGGGAGUGGAAAGGAGCGGAACAGCGGGACGGCGCGGAAUUCUAUUCCUCCGUUCCUUGUAUUCGGCACCGGUCCACCUUCCAGAGUUCCAGUAGUGCAGCCUUCCGAUAUAUCCGACCGCGCGCGAUCAACAUGGAUGUGGUAAAUUCCGUUGCUGCGCAUCGUAUUGCCUGGACCUUCGUCAUGCUGGCACAAUGGCCGCUGGAUUUGCCACGAGCACUGCCGUUCUAAGCUCCGCCGCACCGGUUGUUUCUUCGCCGGUGAAACCGACUGAUAUUGUUAAGCAUUACGGUCAUUUCGCCGAAGCUACCGUGAAAGAGCCAGAGAAAAAUCGCACAAUGGCAGAAUUGCAUACUGGGAGAAUUGCAGUAAUCGAGAAUAACGGCACGACUCGAAGAUUAAACUACAAAUCUCGGUAUCAAAAGGAGAAGAGAAAUAAAACGUAUGCGAAUUCAAAUGAGACCACUUUUCCCAAGAGGGUUAACGUCACGCCUGAAUCACGAAUCGCAAGCUGUGCGAUAAUAUUUACUCGUCGCCGCGUUCCGCACGCAUUGCUGCUCGCGUGUGCGCGUUUUUUCGCCCACGUUGAGCUCAAUCAAGAAGUGAUACGGGCAGACGGCGCGGGCGUUUGGAGAUUCUACCCCGAGAUCGUCGACGAAGCGAACAGCCGGGCUACAUCCUGCGCAAUAAGAACCCAACCUCCACACCGGCAACAAGGCGGGAUGAAAGUGACACGUUCCGGCCGGACAUUUCGCUGCGAGUCAUUUUCACGACAAUACGACUGGUCUUCUAACGAUCGCGGAAUUAAUUAGUCCCGUCUACAUGAAGCAGAAGUUUCGCUUUAGUUAGAAUAAACGUAACAAGAAAAUUUUUCUCCAGCAGACUGCACCAGAAUGCGGACGAAUAGAUUUUUCUAUUGGCCGUGGCGCUGGUGACCACACGCGGAGCGACCGACGCAGGAUCAUCGCACAACCGGAUACCAUCAUGCGCCGCCAUUUUAUUCAACGUCCGCUGAAAGAGAGCUUUGUUUCCGCUUAUGAACGCUAAUAACCUGCGCCGUUCGAAGAUGACGAUCGGCGAUCGCGCGGUAAAUAAUAUAAAGUGAUUUAAAUAAAAUAAUUAAUUAAUAUAAUUUGUAACUUGCAAUUCAACAUAAUAAAUGAUGCUACUAUUUUUAUUAUUACAAAGUAAACGUAACAUUUAUGUUAAAUUUUUACUAGAGUCGAAUGUUAAUUUAACAUAAUGUGAUUGUGCUAUUUGAAUAUUUUAUAUCAAAUUAGUUAAAUUGUCAAAUUGUCAUUGAACAUUCAGUAUUUCAUUUAUUUUUAAUAUUAAAAUAAUACAGCACACAUAAGUAUAAUUAGUAUUAUAUUCAAGUAAAAAUAAAUUAACAGUUUUAUUAAU
This 1721-nucleotide unclassified non-coding RNA is filed under the name Monomorium pharaonis (pharaoh ant). RNAcentral's name for it is "uncharacterized LOC114253999, transcript variant X9". Lineage: Eukaryota; Metazoa; Arthropoda; Insecta; Hymenoptera; Formicidae. The record is from RNAcentral.